Molecule: ribosomal RNA, 343 nt
Filed under: uncultured bacterium
Lineage: Bacteria
Description: bacterial SSU rRNA
Rfam family: Bacterial small subunit ribosomal RNA
Source: RNAcentral
GAUGAACGCUAGCGGCAGGCUUAACACAUGCAAGUCGAGGGGUAGAAGGAGCUUGCUCCUUUGAGACCGGCGCACGGGUGCGUAACGCGUAUGCAAUCUACCUUUUGCAGAGGGAUAGCCCAGAGAAAUUUGGAUUAAUACCUCAUAGUAUGUGAGGAUGGCAUCAUUUUCACAUUAAAGUCACAACGGCAAAAGAUGAGCAUGCGUCCCAUUAGCUAGUUGGUAAGGUAACGGCUUACCAAGGCUACGAUGGGUAGGGGUCCUGAGAGGGAGAUCCCCCACACUGGUACUGAGACACGGACCAGACUCCUACGGGAGGCAGCAGUGAGGAAUAUUGGACAAA